CCUACGGGAGGCUGCAGUGAGGAAUAUUGCACAAUGGGCGCGACCCUGAUGCAGCUACGCAGCGUGAAUGAUGACGGCUUUCGGUAUGUAAAACUCUAUCAGCAAAGGAGAAAAUGACGGUACCUGAUUCAUAAUCCCCGGCUAACUACGUGCCAGCAGCCGCGGUACUACGUCGGAGGCCAGCGUUAUCCGGAUUUACUGGGUGUAAAGGGAGCGUAGACGGCCGCACAAGUCUGGAGUGAAAUGCCGGGGCUUAACCCCGGAACUGCAGUGGAAACUGUGAAGCUUGAGUGCAGUUGAGGUAAGUGGAAUUCGUAGUGUAGCGGUGAAAUGCGUAGAUAUCAGGAGGAACACCAGUGGCGAAGGCGGCUUACUGUACUGCAACUGACGUUGAGGCUCGAAAGUGUGGGGAGCAAACAGGAUUAGAUACCCUAGUAGUC
RNAcentral lists this ribosomal RNA (440 nucleotides) under uncultured bacterium. RNAcentral describes it as "partial 16S ribosomal RNA". It matches the Rfam family "Bacterial small subunit ribosomal RNA", at positions 338 to 795 of the family's 1533-position model. The record is from RNAcentral.